Molecule: long non-coding RNA, 837 nt
Organism: Papaver somniferum (opium poppy)
Lineage: Eukaryota; Viridiplantae; Streptophyta; Magnoliopsida; Ranunculales; Papaveraceae
Exons: 3
Source: RefSeq, a predicted model, not a curated record
AGAACAUUUCUUCUCUCUGCUCCUCCCAUUAAUGGCGUCUUAAAAAACCAUACUUUCUUCAUAGCCGCCUGUAUAGACCAAAAUGUGACUCGCUAAACCGUUUGUAUCUUUGUGUGAUAUACCUUGGUGGGUUGUGAUUAAUUAGCGGAUUUCGGAUAUAAAAAUUGGAACUUUAUCUGAACUUUAUGUUCAAUUUCACUACCUCAACCCUAAGUGGUAACAGUGCAAUCUCCAAAUUCCGUGGUGCUGAGAACCAGCAAAAGCAUACUAUGGUGCCAACACUUGCUAUUUCUGCCCCUUUCAAUGUGGUUCCUUAGGCUGCUGACCUGGGGUUCGCUGCAACCACUUCUAGAGUGAUACCAGUGAUGCUGUAAGAGGAGAUGGUGAUGAAAGUGUAGCUCCAUUUCAUGUUCUUUCUGUACCAGCUGUGGGGACAAAUCCUGGUGAUGAAUUUAGCUUUUGCAUUAAGGAGAUCCAGGAACAGCGACGGUCAGCUGCAGGGUAGAAAGCUAUCAACAAGGAGCAACCGUGUGACUCGUUGCUGCACUCAACUAUGCUUAUCUACACCACAGAGGAAGUAACACUGGAAGUGGAAGAUAAGGAAAUUAGAGGUGAACUGAAGAAGAAGUUGCAGCAUAUGGAAGUGACAACUGGCAGCAUGCUUUUAAUUUCUGCAACAAACUUAUUAGGUUAUACUAGAAAAGAAAUGUGUAUUCCUCCAAGGCAGCCUAUACUGCCAGUACUACUGGAUCUUGCAAACAUCAGUUUCAACCCCCCAUAUAUGGGAAUGGGAUGAAGUUAUCUAAUGCAUGAUAAUACUAUGCUUGUAAACCUCAA